CCUACGAGAUGCCGCAGUGAGGAAUAUUUGUCAAUGGGCGGAAGCCUGAACCAGCCAAGUAGCGUGCGGGAUGAAGGCCCUACGGGUCGUAAACCGCUUUUGCACGGGGAUAACACCCUCCACUUGUGGAGGUCUGCAGGUACCGUUCGAAUAAGGGCCGGCUAAUUCCGUGCCAGCAGCCGCGGUAAUACGGACGGCCCGAGCGUUAUCCGGUUUCAUUGGGCUUACAGGGUGCGCAGGCGGUCUGUUAAGUCAGCGGUAAAAGCCCGGGGCUAAACCCCGCCCCGCCGUUGAAACUGGCAGUCUCGAGUUGGAGAGAAGUAUGCGGAAUGCGCGGUGUAGCGGUGAAAUGCAUAGAUAUCGCGCAGAACUCCGAUUGCGAAGGCAGCAUGACGGCUCCACACUGACGCUGAGGCACGAAAGCGUGGGUAUCGAACAGGAUUAGAUACCCUGGUAGUC
This 459-nucleotide ribosomal RNA is filed under the name uncultured bacterium. RNAcentral's name for it is "partial 16S ribosomal RNA". It matches the Rfam family "Bacterial small subunit ribosomal RNA", at positions 338 to 795 of the family's 1533-position model. The record is from RNAcentral.